Molecule: long non-coding RNA, 359 nt
Organism: Cataglyphis hispanica
Lineage: Eukaryota; Metazoa; Arthropoda; Insecta; Hymenoptera; Formicidae
Exons: 3
Source: RefSeq, a predicted model, not a curated record
GUGGUUUUCAAUGGUUUCUGUAGAACUACCGCGAAGAUGUACCCAUUUGUAUUGAGCAGGUGGAUUGGCCUCGAACUCGGGACACUCGAAGAGCUCCACCGAGGAACUUAGCAGAGCCGUCUCUUCCAUGUCCAUGGAGGAGAAGAAUCAAGCAUAACAACUUUCGCAGGAAUAUAAUAGCAUAAUAUGAAUGUCUAUAUACGCGAAGAUUAUCAUAGCUGUUUGAUUCUACGAAGAAAGCGAUACCUAGAUUUAAAAAGGAGGAAGACCAGCAUCGUGCCUUUUGACCGGCUCGAAGCGCAGCUCGGCGCCCCACAUGCUGUCAUUCAGCUGCGCCGUUGUGCUUUGUAUCAACGACG